Molecule: non-coding RNA, 1149 nt
Organism: Sus scrofa (pig)
Lineage: Eukaryota; Metazoa; Chordata; Mammalia; Artiodactyla; Suidae
Source: RefSeq, a predicted model, not a curated record
CCAAACAGAACAGCAAACCCUAACAUGUUAUUGCCAAAGCCAAGCAUUAGGAUUCCACACAGUACUAACUCUACAUAAACGUAUACCUGGCUGUCUUAUUUAUAGACAAUUGAUUAUAUGUCCUUUUUGCCUUUUAGAUUCUCCUGAAAAAUAUCCUUGCUUGAAGUUGGAUUGGAAAAUUCUGUUCCUAAUGAGACAGUAGGAAUGAAGGAUUUACAAACGUCCAGAUCAGGUGAAAAAAUAUCAGCAUGGAAUAUUUCUUCUGGGGAUAGAACAACAUAAUAUCGCAUACAGGCCAAGACAAGAGAAUUCUCAACUAUGUCGCAUGAACUCUGCUGAAUGGCUAGGAUCAGGAUGAGGCCUUUGACUGGAAGUAGUUUCAAGAAAUAGGCCCCAUGGAAGCUGCACUGGAGUGAAUAUUCCUUAGAGAAUAUUUACUGGGAAAAGCAGUAGAGUGCUGGAUGGUAAAUGAAGAGGAACAUGGAGUUCAGUGGGGUUUUCUUUCUUUUUUUAUGGUAAGAUGGGUGUAUUUAGGGUAUUUUUGUAUGUUGAAAAUAAUCCAGUAGAGGACAUGUUUCUUCAAUUCAGUCGUGUUUGUAUUUCCCACAUUAGAAAGCUCAUUGAUCGUAUUUCAUUACCUUUAAAACAGCAUAGGAAACUAAUUCUACCUAACAUUUCUUCUAUUCAUGUAUAGUUUUAUGUUAGGGGUUUUGUUCAGUGGCUGUGAAGCGUAAUCUUCUUAAAUAAGUGAAUAUGCAGAUGAUGACGUAGUAGGUAUACUAUCAUACAUGGGUAUUAAAAAUUAUGUAAUCCUAAAUAUGCAAACACGUAGGCCUUACUGAAUAGGAUUUAAUCAUUCCUCAAUGAUUCUAGGUAGUACAGUGUUUUUGAUGGUGUCAUCAUGAGUAACUGUGGUUUUGUGAGGUACUCUAAAACAUCAGACUCUAUUACCUUCAUAGUUGUUUAGUUUCCAGGGAAAAGGGGAAGAUUUUAUUUAGAUACAUUGGAAAUAGACACUAUUAAUAGUCUAUUGCAGAUUAUUACUCUUCAAUAAUAAAGUUCUAAAUGACAAAAGCCAUGCUUCCUGUUCCAAAACAGCCCUUAACACAUAUUGCAUGCUCAAUAAAUAUAUAUAUGUUAAAUGCAUGA